AAAUGCUGGGGCAAGCGUGUAGGGCGGUGUGUAGGCAAAUCCGCACACCAUGGGCCUGAGACGUUAAGCGGAGCCGUAUUAGGUGAAGUCAAUGAUCCCAUGCUGCCAAGAAAAGCCUCUAGCGAGCUUCGAGCGGCCCGUACCCCAAACCGACACAGGUGGUCAGGUAGAGAAUACCGAGGCGAUCGGGCGAACUGUGGUUAAGGAACUCGGCAAAUUACCCCCGUAACUUCGGGAGAAGGGGGGCCACAGACUGUCAUACCCCACGCGGGUGGCAGCAGUAGGUGGCCGCAGAGACCAGGGGGAAGCGACUGUUUACUAAAAACACAGGUCCGUGCGAAGUCGUAAGACGAUGUAUACGGACUGACGCCUGCCCGGUGCUGGAACGUUAAGGGGACCGGUUAGUCCGCAAGGGCGAAGCUGAGAACUUAAGCGCCAGUAAACGGCGGUGGUAACUAUAACCAUCCUAAGGUAGCGAAAUUCCUUGUCGGGUAAGUUCCGACCUGCACGAAUGGCGUAACGACUUCCCUACUGUCUCAACCACAGGCCCGGCGAAAUUGCACUACGAGUAAAGAUGCUCGUUACGCGCGGAAGGACGGAAAGACCCCGGGACCUUCACUAUAGCUUGACAUUGGUAUCCGAAUUUAAUUGUGUAGGAUAGGUGGGAGGCUUUGAUCCGCGGACGCCAGUCCGUCGGGGAGCCAAGGUUGAAAUACCACUCUGUUGAAUUUGGGUAUCUAACUUCGGACCGUGAUCCGGUUCAGGGACAGUGUCUGGUGGGUAGUUUAACUGGGGCGGUUGCCUCCUAAAAUGUAACGGAGGCGCCCAAAGGUUCCUUCAGCCUGGUUGGCAAUCAGGUGUUGAGUGCAAGUGCACAAGGGAGCUUGACUGUGAGACUGACAGGUCGAGCAGGGACGAAAGUCGGGACUAGUGAUCCGGCACCUGCGAGUGGAAGCGGUGUCGCUCAGCGGAUAAAAGGUACCCCGGGGAUAACAGGCUGAUCUUCCCCAAGAGUCCAUAUCGACGGGAUGGUUUGGCACCUCGAUGUCGGCUCGUCGCAUCCUGGGGCUGGAGUAGGUCCCAAGGGUUGGGCUGUUCGCCCAUUAAAGCGGCACGCGAGCUGGGUUUAGAACGUCGUGAGACAGUUCGGUCCCUAUCCUCCGCGCGCGUAGGAGACUUGAGAAGAGCUGUCCCUAGUACGAGAGGACCGGGACGGACGAACCUCUGGUGUGCCAGUUGUCAUGCCAAUGGCACGGCUGGUUAGCUACGUUCGGAAGGGAUAACCGCUGAAAGCAUCUAAGCGGGAAGCUCGCUUCAAGAUGAGGUCUCCCACCCCUUGAGGGUUAG
Molecule: ribosomal RNA, 1347 nt
Filed under: metagenome
Description: bacterial LSU rRNA
Rfam family: Bacterial large subunit ribosomal RNA
Source: RNAcentral